Molecule: long non-coding RNA, 1673 nt
Organism: Salvia splendens (bonfire salvia)
Lineage: Eukaryota; Viridiplantae; Streptophyta; Magnoliopsida; Lamiales; Lamiaceae
Exons: 2
Source: RefSeq, a predicted model, not a curated record
UCCACCAUCGGCCAUUUCCAGACGAAACACAAUUCUUCCCCAAAUUGGGAAGAACCCUAGACUCCUCUCCUUUCCCUCGGCGAAACCCACGGAUCGCCACCUCCGUCGCGUCUCCCGGAGGCGUCCGCCGUCCGUCGUCGCCGUCGCACCUCAGUUCCCCUCUACUCUCCUCUUGAAUUGAAUGGGAAGAUCCCCAAUCGGGGAGAAAAACGUCGAACCCUAGGUAACCAUUGGACGAGAGUGGUCGUCCUCCCCUUUGCGCCGGUCGUUGCGCCUCUCGUUGCAGCCAGAUCGUCCGGAGUUGAGCCAGGCCGUCGCGUGGACUUCCAUGCUCUCGGUGAUGACACGGCGUCGCCGCCACCAUCCAAUCACGUCGCCUAGGUGGAGGGAAAACAAACGUCGACUCCUCCGAGUUACGGUUCCGUUCGAAGUUCUAGCCACCCGUCGCUUCCUAUAUCCCUACGUCUGUUGAUUCUAUUUGUUGAGGUCUAAAGUAGGAUUCAAGGGUUCAUAUACUUUAUCUAGCUAUACCCUGAGUUAGCAUGAUUUUUGACACAUUCGAUACUCGUUUAAGACUGGAAUUUCUCGUUCACUGCAUCUGAUGUUGAUUUCGUUGUGCGAUGCCUCUGUGGUUUGGUUUAAUUAUUGCAUAAGUUUAGAGGAACUACUGGUUUUAGCUUGGCAUGAAGAGGCCUAUGUUUUAUCGAGCAUGAGUCUGAUUCUCUCGUUCUAUCGUGGCUUGAAUGGUGUAUAGGCUUUAUUCACCACUAUCAUGCGAUGUGUUUCCUAGUGCAAAAUGUUGCUACAUGAUGAAUUGAUGGUAUUAUCAACGUUUUGAGUUUGAGGGGAGGUGAAGUUUACCUUCUUUGCUCGGCUCAAACUCCUGCUCAAGCCUCGGUCUCUCUCACUCUCUAGCUUACUGAUUGUGAUGAUAUGUGGUGGUGAAGGAGGUAAAACUGAGAGAUCAUCUCUAUGUAUAGUGGGUGUGUAACUGAAAGCUACAGGGUUGUUAUUUAGUGCCAGAGUAAGGGGUCCUAGGCUGCCCUUUGUUGGCUGAUUUUUCCUGCAACUAUGCAGGCAUGUACUCGUGCAUUAAUUGGAAUUUACAACCUCUUUUGUUCCCAUAUUACAGGGUAUCUCAGCCCCUUGUCUUCUGCUGCACAACCAGUGCUCUCGGUGCACUUUCUGCAGGCGCUUGCCCCUACAAAUCUGCAGCUUGAGGGCUGCAGAUGAGGGUCCUUCUUGGCCCGUAGCAGCUGGAUAAAGGCUGGGAUGCAGGUUGUUGCACUACCACGACUUCCCCAUAUGGUCUUGGAGGGAAUAGCUUAUCUCGUGGUUUGAAACUCUCGGCCCGAAGGGCUCUACGGACUCCGCGUGUUGCGUGGCCUGGUUGGAAGGGAGAGCGAAUCCCUUGUCGUCUUUCCCUUUGUGUAUACUUCAUUUUGUGGGCACAACUGCUUAAGUUUAUGUAAUAGAUCCCUUUAGAAAGAAUACACAGUUAAGUCAUGUAAUAGAUUCUUUUAGAAGAAUCAAGUUUCUAGUAUUUUUCUUGUAUGAGUGUGUAUUGUAAUAUAAUUAGUUAGCGACGAAACUUAUGUUCUAAAUUUCCUUUCUUGUAUGAAUUUGAAGCGUUCACUUUGGGAAGAAAAUAAAGAGAGCGCCAUUUCUUUUUA